Molecule: long non-coding RNA, 2998 nt
Organism: Acanthochromis polyacanthus (spiny chromis)
Lineage: Eukaryota; Metazoa; Chordata; Actinopteri; Pomacentridae
Exons: 2
Source: RefSeq, a predicted model, not a curated record
GGCAGAGGAGAAUCCAACCCCGUACUGACUUCCUGACCACCUGCCUGAGUGACUUAUUCACUGCUUCAGCUUGACCUAAUAAAUCACAUUACCAUUGCCGGUAGUGUAAUUACUGGCCAGCUGUCGCGUCUCUUUUUUUAACUCUGGGCUGGACUGAGUGUGCCGUACCGGACUGCAAGAGAGCCGACAGAGUGGAAGGGACAGAAAUCCAAUGGAGCGGGCUGGACUGGGCUCAGUAAAUGAAGCGAGAAGGAGCUGAAUCACGUUCAGUCCAAACCCCUAGAAGAGGUUUCCUGAUGGAGCAAUGAUUCUCAGCACAUAAUGCAUAACGGCCGCUGGUAUCUGUGUUUGGAGCUGUGAUUGAUUCCAGCUGGCUGAAGACGGAGCUCCAGAUCUCACCUGGUGCUCAUGAGGAGUGAUUAUCCUGGAGCUUCAGACCUCCUCCCUGGUCCUCCACUCCUCCUGAUCCACCGGAUUGGUUCACCACCACAACUCCUCCUCCCGCAACAUCCCAGCAAUCACUGCACAUGAGUAUAUAUCUGCAGCCAAGACCCCUUUCUGCUGGUUUGAUGGAACCAGUUUGUGCUGGUACCUCUUAGUGGUUUGUGCUGUGUUCUGUAGGGGUAGUGAGGGGUGACAACAGACAAUUAGAACUUCUGUUGGCGGCUGCUGAUUCCAUGUGGAGCUUCCAGUUUUAAUGGAGACUGUGGCUCCUGUUAGCAGUCUGCCAACUUUAGAAAGAAGCUGUUUCGUAACUUGAGCCUUUGUCUGUUUAGAGGCAUCCGUUUAGUUUAGUUAGUUCUGUACACUGUGUGUAUAGUUUCUGUUGUGUUGGGUGUUGCUGCUGUGUUUUGGUUUGGCUACGGAGUUUAGUUCUGUUUGUGAACUCCGUUAGCCUUCGUUUGGUUUUAUUUGGUUCUUUGAUUUAACAGCAUCCGCCAGCCCUUAUUUCUUUGUGUUAUCACUGUUUUUUAUGUUACUUUGCUACUCCGCAAUAAACUCCUUCACCUGAACCAAUAACAUCUGGUUAUUGUUGCUGCAUCCAGCUGAUCCUAGAGUUUGGAUCGCAAAAAAUGUCAGAACCAUCUGAGCUGCAUCAACUAAAGUAUGCUGGAAAGAAAGUGUAUUUAGCUGAAGUAUAGGGGUGUUUCAAAUCAUCAGUUUUUGUUUUUUUUAAAGAUGGCAGUUCACAUUUGUGGAUUCUAUCAACUUGAAAUCAUACAUUGUGCCUUUCUGCUGGCUUUCUAACGAUAGCCAAAGUGGGGAAAAUUGGGAUUUACUGCUCUUUUAGUGUUGUAUGUCUCACAUCAUGACUUUAAUGUAAAUUUUUCUGCUUCAGUUCACCCGCUGUUUGCUUCGAGUAGGGUUACAGAAAAGGGGGAAAAAUGUAAGUCUAAUGACAAAAUCAUGUUCUGCGUUUCGGCAAAGCAAAUACUUUGAAAACUGGGAACCUCAAUUGUCCUGAAAUCUGUUGUAGCCAUCAGGGCCGGCCCUAGGACUUUGAUGGCCCUAAGCAAGAUUUUUUUUUGUGGCCCCAAAACAUGCACAGGGCAACUACCAAAUCACGUGCACAGCUUGUAAUUGGGUUAAAACACACAUGCACAUGAUUAACAGCAAAUAUAUAUAUUUUUUUAAAUGUAUCCGAGACAGGGACAAAAUGCGAAUCACACACUUAUUGUGGUGUGGCCCCCUCUAGUGGAUGUGGCUAUAAACAACGGGAUAGAGUGUUUAUGCCAGCGGCCGGCCCUGGUAGCCAUGCAAACUGGUCACUUAACAAGAAGAAAAUGAUUCAAGUUUUAUCAAUUCAAACAACUCAUAAGUUGAUCAAAAAAAUUUCUUUGAGUGUAUUUGUUAAAAUAUAGCUCCAUAUUUUUGCUGACGGCGUUCUCAAUCAUUAAAACAUCGCAAAUUCUUCUACAAACAAAAGCAGCAAGAUGCAUGCAAAAUUAUUUCAUUGUUCUGUUUGCCCAAUGAGCAUUUUGUUCCUGGCUGCGUUCAGCAUCACGUCUUACUUCUUCAGCUGAGUCUUCCUUCAUAAUGACUGAAGCCUGUCUGCUUCCGUGAGGCCUUUAUUUAGGUGCACUGCUGUCAUUUUUUGAUUCAUAGCUGAUGCUUUAAAUAUGCAAAGUCUGACUGAGAUCAGGACUUUAAGGACCUUGAAGAAGGAAGGACAAUAAAGUUCCUUUAAUCUGAUCUCAUGGUGUGGUAAUAAAGUCGGAGCUGGCUGACUUAAUAUUGGCAUCUGCAGGAGGGCAAGGAGGGAGGAUGUGGAGUUUUACUCGUAUUGUGGGGACAUAAAUGUGUGUGAGUGGGGAUUUGACUUGCUUUGGAUGACAAAAAGCCCCCGAACAUCAAUAUGUAUCAUUAAAUUUUAUGUUUAAAUUCAAAUUAAAUUAAGAUUGAAUUAGGAUUAUAGCGAAUCUACAUUGAAUCAGUGCAAAUCAAUGUAAUGUCAAUGGAAGUGAUGGAAACCUGACGGUGUGUGUUACAUGUUUGUGUGCAUCCUCAAUAAACUUGUGCAUGGGACACGCUCUUGAAGCGUGUGUGUGUGCGUGUCUCUGUGUGUGUGUUCGCGAUGCCUUGCCUGAUGAAAGCCAGCAGGAGACCCAGCGCCCCUCUGAGCUCGACUCCAUCAGAGAGAAAAGAGGAGACGAGCAGCAAUGAGGACGGUGGGGGAGGGAGGGAGGAGAUGUGGGUUUCAGACUCUGUGUGUGUGUGUGUGUGUGUGUGUGUGUGUGUGUGUGUGUGCGCGCAUUUGUGCAUGUGUCUUUCUGAGGGAAUGACGAGGAGAUGGAGAGAGAACACACAGCUCUGUAUGUCAGUUAUGAUUCUUCAGCCAUGAAUGUAAAAUAGGACUGUAAUGCGCGGUUUGUCUGCGUGUGUCAUUGUGUUUCUGCAGACUCUCUGUGGCAACACAUGACACGAAACCAAACGAAAUGUCAUCUCAUGUUUGCGUUUUCCCUUCACAGCUACAGAAAAUAAAUAACUUCUAAUACGA